Molecule: ribosomal RNA, 468 nt
Filed under: uncultured bacterium
Lineage: Bacteria
Description: partial 16S ribosomal RNA
Rfam family: Bacterial small subunit ribosomal RNA
Source: RNAcentral
GAUGAACGCUGGCGGUGUGCUUAACACAUGCAAGUCGAACGGCAAGGCCCUGCUUUUGUGCGGUGACCGGGUGGCGAACGGGUGAGUAACACGAGUGUAACCUGCCCUUGUCUUUGGUAUAACUUAAGGUAACUGGGGCUACUAUCGGAUAGGAGCUCCUGCUGCAUUGUGGGGGUUGGAAAGUUGCGGCGGUUGGGGAUGGACUGGCGGCUUAUCAGCUUGUUGGUGGGGUAGUGGCUUACCAAGUCUUUGACGGGUAGCCGGCCUGGGAGGUUGGCCGGCCACAUGAGGCCUGAGAUACGGCCCAGACUCCAACGGUAGGCAGCGGUGGGGAAUAUUACACAAUGAGCGGGAGCCUGUUACAGCGGCGCCGGGUGCGGAAAGACGUCCUUCUGGUUGUGAACCGCAUUCGCCUGUGACGAAGCGUUAGUGACGGUAAUGGGUAAAGAAGCACCGGCUAACUACGUG